Molecule: non-coding RNA, 85 nt
Organism: Xylogone sp. PMI_703
Lineage: Eukaryota; Fungi; Ascomycota; Leotiomycetes
Source: the annotation of a GenBank genome assembly
GCCCGGCUAGCUCAAUCGGUAGAGCGUGAGACUCUUAAUCGAAGAGAUCAUCUCAAGGUUGCGGGUUCGACCCCCGCGUUGGGCU